CCGGGCGACCGGCGCACGGGUGAGUAACACGUAUGCAACCUGGCCGUCACAGGUGGAUAACCGGAAGAAAUUCCGACUAAUACAGCAUAACACUCCUGAGGGACAUCCCUUGGGAGUCAAAGGAGGCAACUCCGGUGACGGAUGGGCAUGCGGCGCAUUAGGUAGUUGGUAGGGUAACGGCCUACCAAGCCGACGAUGCGUAGGGGUUCUGAGAGGAAGGUCCCCCACAUUGGAACUGAGACACGGUCCAAACUCCUACGGGAGGCAGCAG
This 271-nucleotide ribosomal RNA is filed under the name uncultured bacterium. RNAcentral's name for it is "partial 16S ribosomal RNA". It matches the Rfam family "Bacterial small subunit ribosomal RNA", at positions 87 to 354 of the family's 1533-position model. The record is from RNAcentral.